UACGGGGGGGGCAAGCGUUGUUCGGAAUUACUGGGCGUAAAGGGCGCGUAGGCGGUGCUCUAAGUCGGAUGUGAAAACUCUGGGCUCAACCCAGAGCCUGCAUCCGAAACUGGAGUGCUAGAGUUCUGGAGGGGGUAGCGGAAUUCCUGGUGUAGCGGUGAAAUGCGCAGAUAUCAGGAAGAACACCUAUGGCGAAGGCAGCUCUCUGGGACGGUACUGACGCUGAGACGCGAAAGCGUGGGGAGCGAACAGG
Molecule: ribosomal RNA, 253 nt
Filed under: uncultured bacterium
Lineage: Bacteria
Description: partial 16S ribosomal RNA
Rfam family: Bacterial small subunit ribosomal RNA
Source: RNAcentral